This is a long non-coding RNA of Pyrgilauda ruficollis (rufous-necked snowfinch), 342 nucleotides long. RefSeq lists it as uncharacterized. The transcript is spliced from 2 exons. NCBI's taxonomy places the organism in Eukaryota, Metazoa, Chordata, Aves, Passeriformes, Passeridae. The record is from RefSeq and is a predicted model, not a curated record.
UUCAGGGGUCUGUGUCCCUGGCAAAGGAAUGUGGACAAAUGGAUGACCAGAACUGCACUCUGAAAAUAAUCUGCUCAUGGAAACUGUCCUGGAAUAUUGGACUGGACCAGCUCUGUGAUGGUCAUGCCCAUUUUGAGACUCUCAUGUUAAUGCCACAAGAACUUCAGUCUACUGUAUAAUAUUUCAGACAUGGAGAGGGAAAAAAAGAAGAAAUAAAGAAAAAGAAAAACCAGCCGUCUGCAUCCACUUAAACUACAUUACAAUAAAGCUCAGUAAAGAUCUGAUCAGCAGUUUUUUAACCUGCUCUGAUUUAAUAUGAAAUAAAUUAGUGGAAAACCUAAA